UGGUUUCUUCAAAAUUGCCCAAAUCCCUAAACCAUAAAAUCCGACGGCCCCUUCACGGCUUCACCCAUCUCUCUCUUGAUCCGCCAUAGCCAAUCGGUUGCCCAUUUGAGCAGAUGUUUUGUUGUCUUCAAUUGCCGAUGGAUGUUCUUCGUUUCUAGAUUAUCUAUUCUUCGUUGCAUAAGUGACCGUUCGAUUCAAGCAUGCCUUGCGGAAGAUCGCUCAAAAUCUUCGAAAAACAAAAAUAAGCUGGAAACUGGAGCUCCGGAUUUGGGGUUUUCAAAGUGGUUUGACAGGUUAAGCAAACAAGAGAAAGAGACAGCUGAUAGAAAAAAAAAAAUAGUGAGCAAAUGGCAUCCAACAACAAAUAGUACAUUUGGGUGACAUUACAAAAUUCAUUCUAAAUCAGAAGGUAGGUGUUUGCUUAAAGCCAUCGCAUCCUAAUUGUCGGACGAUGAUCAGUUUAGAGAUGCCACUUCCCACAAGGAGUGUCAAAUUAGGAGGGAAAAUACUCAUGGAGAAACUAUUUGUUGUAACAAUGUGUGGGCCUUGUUUGAUGAGCUCCCUAUGCCUCGUUUGAUUGUGAAAAUCACGCCUUUUCCUGCGGGUCCAUUUGCAGAAAACGAUUACUCGAAAGCUGAAAUAUUGAAGUUUCUCAAAGAAAGAAACUGAAAUAGAGAGAUUAUGUGACAAAUUCGUAGGUGAAGAAAUUACUAGCUGCUAGGGAUCUUGCGGGUCAAGAGUAUGGAGAAUAAAAGAAUUUAUAGAAAAGAUUUCAUGAGUGUAUGAGGAAAGAGAAUCAUAACAGUUAGGAAGAACCACCCAGGCGAUGUGCACCAACAAGGUGGGCACAAUAGUUGCAAAAGCUUAAAGACGGCCAAUAGAGGAAACAAAAAAUAUUGCAGCAAAUGAAUGAAGAAUUGGUUUAUAACAGUUAAUCUUGGUUAGUUUUGGACAAGGGUAACAUAAUAAGCUUUCUCAAAAUUUAAUUUGUAUAAAGAUUCAUUGAAAGAUGUAUAUUGUAUGAUUUUAAGAUAUGAUAUUUUUUGGAUUUUAUGAUCAUUUAAUUAUA
Molecule: long non-coding RNA, 1069 nt
Organism: Erythranthe guttata (spotted monkey flower)
Lineage: Eukaryota; Viridiplantae; Streptophyta; Magnoliopsida; Lamiales; Phrymaceae
Source: RefSeq, a predicted model, not a curated record